Molecule: ribosomal RNA, 253 nt
Filed under: uncultured bacterium
Lineage: Bacteria
Description: partial 16S ribosomal RNA
Rfam family: Bacterial small subunit ribosomal RNA
Source: RNAcentral
UACAGAGGGUGCAAGCGUUGUUCGGAAUUAUUGGGCGUAAAGCGCGCGUAGGCGGCCCGGUAAGUCCGUUGUAAAAGUCGAAGGCUCAACCUUCGAAAGCCGAUGGAUACUGCCGGGCUAGAGUCCGGAAGAGGCGAGUGGAAUUCCUGGUGUAGCGGUGGAAUGCGCAGAUAUCAGGAGGAACACCGAUUGCGAAGGCAGCUCGCUGGGACGUAACUGACGCUGAGACGCGAAAGCGUGGGGAGCAAACAGG